GAAAUAUUUUAAAAUUUAAACUUCUAAUUUAAAUUCAAGUGAAUCUUUCAUUUAUAUUUCU
RNAcentral lists this transfer RNA (61 nucleotides) under Hydropsyche cerva. Its description in RNAcentral is "tRNA-Ser". Lineage: Eukaryota; Metazoa; Arthropoda; Insecta; Trichoptera; Hydropsychidae. The record is from RNAcentral.